CUUGACACUGAACAUUGGGCCUUGAUGUGUAGGAUAGGUGGGAGGCUUUGAAGCGUGGACGCCAGUCUGCGUGGAGCCAACCUUGAAAUACCACCCUUUAAUGUUUGAUGUUCUAACGUUGGCCCCUUACCGGGGUUGCGGACAGUGUCUGGUGGGUAGUUUGACUGGGGCGGUCUCCUCCCAAAGCGUAACGGAGGAGCACGAAG
This 206-nucleotide ribosomal RNA is filed under the name Klebsiella pneumoniae. Its description in RNAcentral is "partial 23S ribosomal RNA". It matches the Rfam family "Bacterial large subunit ribosomal RNA", at positions 2110 to 2315 of the family's 2925-position model. Lineage: Bacteria; Pseudomonadati; Pseudomonadota; Gammaproteobacteria; Enterobacterales; Enterobacteriaceae. The record is from RNAcentral.